UUUCCAGCCCCUCCUCCUUCCACAGAGCUGGGGGGGUGGGAGUGAAAGCUCGAGCCCUCUAGUCACUUGGUUGGCUCCCCUGACCACCAGCCCCCACCCCAGGCGUCCCUUGUCCCUCCCCCCACCCCCACUCCUACACUGCGGUGCCUUUAACAUGACAAAAGACACCCUUCACUCUCUCCUCCCUUAGGAAUUCCAACGGUUUGGGGAGCUCAGCGCCAGGAAGGGGCAAAGGACAAGGACCUACUUCUUACUGCAAAGCGCGGUAUUGCAGCCUGUUUGGUGCAAAUCCAGGGUUUGUGGUUGCGCUGGCCUGACCGGAUGAAUGAACGAGUUCCCGGGGCUAGAUACUAAGAGGAAAUGUGUGAGGGACUAAUUCUUGGAUUUCCGAUUGUGUGACAAAGCAGUGGUGAUAUGAAAAUAGCAGUUACCAGAGAUGAUUAUUAGGACUUUUACUACCACCCCUGCUGCUAGCACCUAGCACAUCACAGUCCCUGGUCAAAAAUGUCUUUUCCACCUAAGGUGCAUAAAUGGAGGCACAAGGAGAUUAGGAAAGUACUCAUCCAAAGGAGCAGGGCUAGCAAAGGUCAGAGCUGAUUUCCGAAUCCAGGUCCUGGGGACUUCAAAACCCCUGUCCUGUUCACCCCUUCAGGGGUUUUUCCUUGGAGGAAGCAGCUUCUUGAACAGGAAGAUUCUUCUGCACACCUGGUGGUGCUGGAACAAAGGGGAUGGCCAAGAAAAUCAAGAAAACCUGCAAUCUGGCAGUUCUGUGUUUUCCUUAGAUCACCUCCCAAGAAACUAUAGAAGAAAGCGUUCUGGAGGAUUGAAAGGAAAUAAAGGAUGUCUCUUUCUCUGAUAGAAGAGAGUCCUACAGAUAUGCCGUCACAUGUAGCAUCUGCUUCUUGUCUGAGAGGACUUGCUGCCCUCUAGCCCAAGAGAAGGCCCGUAUAGUCUCUCAUGCCAGCUCUUCCCAGGCACAGACUCAUGGAGCCUUUGAGGCAAGGAUAACAGCUGCCUAUUUUGAGACGUUUUGUUGUGUGAUAAGAACAAACUCACUAGGGGCAUCUGGGUGGCUCAGUUAAAGCCUCUGCCUUUGGCUCAGGUCAUGGUCCCAAGGUCCUGGAAUCGA
Mustela erminea (ermine) is the source of this 1129-nucleotide long non-coding RNA. RefSeq lists it as uncharacterized. The transcript has 3 exons. The record is from RefSeq and is a predicted model, not a curated record. NCBI's taxonomy places the organism in Eukaryota, Metazoa, Chordata, Mammalia, Carnivora, Mustelidae.